UCGGGGGAACCAAUCAAAACAAGAAACAGAAAUGUCAGUUUUUGUAGCGCCAGGAUGUAAAAUGAAACAGUGAGUCGUGAAAACAUAAAUACAAACCGAUUCAAGGCAAAGGAAGAAAAGAUGUGGACCUCAGGUGUUGGGAGGCUCAAGUAGUAACAUCACUCCACCGGGCGAAGAAAAGAUGUGGACCUCAGGUGUUGGGAGGCUCAAGUAGUAACAUCACUCCACCGGGCGAAGAAAAGAUGUGGACCUCAGGUGUUGGGAGGCUCAAGUAGUAACAUCACUCCACCGGGCGAAGAAAAGAUGUGGACCUCAGGUGUUGGGAGGCUCAAGUAGUAACAUCACUCCACCGGGCGAAGAAAAGAUGUGGACCUCAGGUGUUGGGAGGCUCAAGUAGUAACAUCACUCCACCGGGCGAAGAAAAGAUGUGGACCUCAGGUGUUGGGAGGCUCAAGUAGUAACAUCACUCCACCGGGCGAAGAAAAGAUGUGGACCUCAGGUGUUGGGAGGCUCAAGUAGUAACAUCACUCCACCGGGCGAAGAAAAGAUGUGGACCUCAGGUGUUGGGAGGCUCAAGUAGUAACAUCACUCCACCGGGCGAAGAAAAGAUGUGGACCUCAGGCGUUGGGAGGCUCAAGUAGUAACAUCACUCCACCGGGCGAAGAAAAGAUGUGGACCUCAGGUGUUGGGAGGCUCAAGUAGUAACAUCACUCCACCGGGCGAGAGUAACUCAGAUCGAGUCUUUACUCCUUAUGUCUCCUCAUACAAAA
This is a long non-coding RNA of Eriocheir sinensis (Chinese mitten crab), 770 nucleotides long. RefSeq lists it as uncharacterized. NCBI's taxonomy places the organism in Eukaryota, Metazoa, Arthropoda, Malacostraca, Decapoda, Varunidae. The record is from RefSeq and is a predicted model, not a curated record. The transcript is spliced from 3 exons.